This is a long non-coding RNA of Bos taurus (domestic cattle), 637 nucleotides long. Lineage: Eukaryota; Metazoa; Chordata; Mammalia; Artiodactyla; Bovidae. The record is from Ensembl.
UUCCCAGGUGCCUGAGUGUUUCUCAUCAACAACAGCUGGGCCUUUUGUGUUUUCUCAAGAGGAACAGAGUGCUGGUGGCGUGUUUUCCCGCUGUACCAGGAAGAGAAGAUCAGCGUUUCUAAAACGUCCUCAUUCAGGGUGAAGUGGAAAUAUUCCAGCGCUGGGGAGUCAGUUCCAGACAAAACUCAGCAGAUAAUCUCAGCGCUUGCACCACGACUGCUAAUCCUGCACGCAAGACAGACAGCACGAAACGAACAGGAUGGCAGACAGCACCAAUCGAUGGCGGACAGUCUUUCCCACUGAGCAAAUCCUUCUCAACGCUGUGCUUCCAAGUGGCCAUUAGGAAUCAAUUCAUCUUGAUGAAGAAGCCAAAACUCAUUUGCCGUUCCCAAUUCUUGAGCAUGACCUCCAGAAAUUCCUGAAAUCAUUGAAAAUGACUCAGAGUAUUUCCCUCAGGGAGUCUGAUCCUGCUGACUCUUAAUUCUCUCCUGCUAACCUACCCCCACCACUGUCUCUGUUCCCGAGGGAUUUCGGGAUUUGGAGUUUUGCUACCCCACCCCCCUCCUCGUUUCUUUCUUUUUUUUUUAAACAGAAAAAGAAACCGAAGCCCCAGAGAUUAAAAGACUCGCUCAAGGUC